RNAcentral lists this ribosomal RNA (301 nucleotides) under uncultured bacterium. Its description in RNAcentral is "partial 16S ribosomal RNA". It matches the Rfam family "Bacterial small subunit ribosomal RNA", at positions 509 to 807 of the family's 1533-position model. The record is from RNAcentral.
CAGCAGCCGCGGUAACACGAAGGGGGCUAGCGUUGUUCGGAUUUACUGGGCGUAAAGCGCACGUAGGCGGAUCCUUAAGUCGGAGGUGAAAUCCCAAGGCUCAACCUUGGAACUGCCUUUGAUACUGGGGAUCUCGAGUUCGGGAGAGGUGAGUGGAACUGUGAGUGUAGAGGUGAAAUUCGUAGAUAUUCGCAAGAACACCAGUGGCGAAGGCGGCUCACUGGCCCGAUACUGACGCUGAGGUGCGAAAGCGUGGGGAGCAAACAGGAUUAGAUACCCGCGUAGUCCCUGUCUCUUAUAC